Molecule: ribosomal RNA, 232 nt
Filed under: uncultured bacterium
Lineage: Bacteria
Description: partial 16S ribosomal RNA
Rfam family: Bacterial small subunit ribosomal RNA
Source: RNAcentral
AUGCAGGUGGUUUGUUAAGUCAGAUGUGAAAGCCCGGGGCGUCAACCUCGGAAAUUGCAUUUUAGAAACUGGCAGACUAGAGUACUGUAGAGGGGGGUAGGAAUUUCAGGUGUAGCGGUGAAAUGCGUAGAGAUCUGAAGGAAUACCGGUGGCGAAGGCGGCCCCCUGGACAGAUACUGACACUCAGAUGCGAAAGCGUGGGGAGCAAACAGGAUUAGGAUACCCGUGGUAG